Molecule: small nucleolar RNA, 145 nt
Organism: Nannospalax galili (Upper Galilee mountains blind mole rat)
Lineage: Eukaryota; Metazoa; Chordata; Mammalia; Rodentia; Spalacidae
Source: Ensembl
UGCUUUUCUAUUACCACUUCACUUUUGGAAACUAAUGAAUGUGGUAUAAAAAAGCAUAAAUUAAUGCUUUGGAGACUUUUAAUACCCUUAAAUUUUGUAUCUUUGGUGUAAUUUUGUAUCUUCCUUCUUUGCAUAAGGAAGAGCU